ACUUUUAAUAACGGAUUUUUUAGUUUUAGUAUUAAUAAAAAACGUAGCGAAAUACGAUAAGUAAUAUAAAUUAUAGAAUUUAGUAAAUUAUUAAAUUUUUAAACGUAUAUUGCGCUUAUUAGUAUUUUAGUAAGUAUACUUAUUCGAGCGUUAUUUUAACCCUUAAGUACUACUUAGUUUUAGGGCCCUACGGUAUACGUAGGCCCUUAAAAGUAGUAGCGGACCCUUUCGGAGCCUUUUUUACGUAGUAAUUAAUAUUUCGUACUAGGAUUCGGAGGAACUCUUAUUAUAAAACCCCUAAAUUUUUUUAUAAGUUAACCUCGGAUUAAGUAAGAAUACCCGCUAAACUUAAGUAUAUUAAUAAGUAAAGGAAAAGAAAUUAAUAAAGAUUACCUUAAUAACGGCGAGUAAAGUAGUAAUAGUUUAAAUUUAAAAUCUAGCCCUAGGCCCGAGUUAUAAUUUAUAAAGGAUACUUUUAGCGCGGUGCCUUCUAAGUUCUCUAGAACGGGACGUUAUAAAAAGUAAGAGCUCUAUAUAAUUAGAUACUAAGCUUUUAUAAAGCUCUUUUAACGAGUUAAGUAGUUUAGGAAUACUAUUCUAAAUAGGAAAUAUAUUUUUUUUAAAACUAAAUAUUAGCUAGAGACCGAUAGUAUAUAAGUAGAAUAAUUAAAAAAUAAAAAGUAUUUUAAAAAGAGGGUUAAAUAGUACGUAAAAUUAUUAAAAAGGAAGCGCUUAUAACUAGACUUAUGUUUAGUAAAUUACUUAGCUCUCGNNNNNNNNNNAGCUAGGGUAUUUUACUAAUAUAAGCUAGUAUUAGCUUACUGUUAAGGAUAAAAGUUUUAAGAACGUAGCUCUUCUUAGGGAGUAUUAUAGCUUAUUAUAUAAUACUCUUUAGCGAGCUAAAGUAUAUGCUCUAUAAAAAUAUUAGUAUAAUAAUUAUUAAUAACCCGUUUUAAAAUACGGACUAAGGAGUUAAUUUUAUAUACGAGUAUUUAAAUAUUAAACCCCUAUACAUAAUAAAAGUAAACGUAAGUAAGAGCUUCGGCAUAUUAUUAACUAAUCUUAAUAUUCUUAAAUAGAUUUAAAUAAGAGUAUAUAGGGUUAGACCUAAAAAAAGGUAAAUUAUGCGUAUAUAGAGUAAAGCUAAAGGAAACUCUAAUAGAGGCUCGUAGUGGUUCUAAUAUAUAAAUUAAUUAUUAAAUAUGCGUAUAGGGGUAAAAGAUUAAUUAAACCUUUUAGUAACUAGUUUUUGCUAAAGUUUCUUUUAGGAUAGUAAUAUUAAGCUUAGUUUUAUAAAGUAAAGCGAAUGAUUAGGGACUUGGGGGCUAUUUUUUAUUUUUAUCUAUUUUUAAACUUUAAAUAUAUAAGAAGCCUUUGUUACUUAGUUAAACGUAGGUAUUUGAAUAUAUUAAUAUUAGUAAGUUAUUUUUAGUAAGUAGAACUAGCGAUGCGGGAUAAACUAAACGCGAGGUUAAGGUACUAGAGUAGUUAUUUAUUAGAUAUUAUAAAAGGUAUUAGUAUAUUUUAAUAAUAGGACGGUAAUUAUAGAAGUCGGAAUUCGCUAAGGACUAUAUAAUAACUUAUUUACUAAAUAUAUUAGUUUUGAAAAUAGAUAGUACUUAAGUAACUUACUUAUACCUCGCCCUUAGUAUAAAAAUAAUGCGCUAAAGAGUAGGUAGACGUAGAGGUUAGUAAUAAAGCUUAGGGCGUAAGCCCGGGUAGAACGGUUUUUAAUAUAGAUUUUAAUAGUAAUAAUAAAUACUUUAAUAAGAACUUAAAGGACCGAAGUAGGAAAAGGUUUUAUAUAAAUAGCGGUUAGAUAUGGGUUAGUUAAUCUUAAAUUAUAGGGAAGUUUUAUUUUAAAGGGGUACUUAUACCCCGUAUAGUAAAAGGGAAGCUGGUUAAUAUUCUAGUACUUAGAUAUAGGUUUUAUAUAAUAACGUAACUAAACGCAGAGAUAAUAGCGGGGGCCCUAGGUAGAGUUUUUUUUUUUUUUUAAUAGUUUAUUAUNNNNNNNNNNGUUUAUCUAGAACUAGGGUUUAACGGCUAGAAGAGCCUAGUAUUUCUAUUAGGUCUAGUAUGCUCUUAACGUUUUUUAAAAAUCCGCGAGAAGGAAUAAUUCUUAUACUAGGUCGUAUUUAUAACUAUAGUAGGUUUUUAAAAUAAAUAGCUUCUAGUUAAUAGAAUAAUAUAGAUAAGGGAAGUUAGUAAAAUAGAUUUAUAAUUUUAGGAUAAGGAUUAGCUCUAAGGGUUAGGUACGUUAGGCUUUGGGCGGACGGCUUAGGAGUAGGUCGUUACUAGCUAGGUAACCGGCCGGAGGCUUUUAGUACUUAGGUUUUAACGCCCUUAGUAAGCUUUAGUUAUCCGGCGUACGGUUAAUAAUUAACUUAGAACUAAUAUGGAUAAAGGGAAUCUAACUAUUUAAUUAAAAUAUAAUAUUACGAUAGCUAGAAAGUAGUAUUAACGUAAUAUAAUUUUUACCUAGUACUCUAAAUAUUAAAAUAAAGGAAUUUAACUAAGCGUAGGUAAAUAGCGGGAGUAAUUAUAACUCUUUUAAAAUAACUAAAUACCUCGUUAUUUAAUUAGUAAUACGUAUAAAUAGAUUAAUAAGAUUCUUAUUAUCCUUAUUUAUUAUUUAGCAAAACUAUAGCUAAGGGAACGGGCUUAGUAAAAUUAGUAGGGAAAGAAGACCUUGUUAAGUUUAACUUUAGUUUAAUAUUAUAAAAAGAUAUAAGGGGUAUAGGAUAGGUAGGAGCUUCGGCGCUAGUGAAAUAUUACUACCCUUAUUAUUUUUUUAUUUAUUUAAUAAAGCNNNNNNNNNNCUUCUAGUUUUAAGGUCUUUUGCGGGCCGACCCGGGUUAAAAAUAUUAUUAGGUAGGGAGUUUAGCUAGGGCGGUAUAUUUAUUAAAUUAUAACGUAGGUAUUUUAAGGGGGGCUUAUAGAGAAUAGAAAUCUCUAGUAAAAUAAAAAGGUAAAAGUCCCCUUAAUUUUAAUUUUUAGUAUGAAUAUAAACUAUAAAAGUAUGGCCUAUUAAUCUUUUAGUUCUUCGAAAUUUAAGGCUAGAGGUACUAGAAAAGUUAUUAUAAGGAUAACUAGCUUAUAGCGGCUAAGCGUUUAUAAUAACGUCGCUUUUUAAUCUUUUGAUAUCGGUUCUUUUUAUUAUAUUAAAAUAGAAUUUAAUAAGCAUUAGAUUAUUUACUUAUUAAUAAGGAACGUGAGCUAGGUUUAGACUAUUAUAAGAUAAGUUAGUUUUAUUUUACUAAUAACCUCGUCGUAAUAGUAAUUAAGCUUAGUACGAGAAGAACUACUUAUUUAGAUAAUUAGUUUUUAUAGCUAUCUAAUUAGGUAGUACUAUAAUAUUAUUAUUUACUAAAUAAUAGCUAAACGCUUCUAAGUUAAAAUCUAUAUUAAAACGCAAUAAUACUUCCCGUAUAUAUAAAUAGAUAUAAAUAGGCUCUAGCUUAGCGUCUUAGUAAGCAAUUCUUUUACUACUCUUAAAGCGAGUAAUAGUAUUUUACGAAUUAUAAUUUU
This 3531-nucleotide ribosomal RNA is filed under the name Colletotrichum simmondsii. RNAcentral describes it as "eukaryotic LSU rRNA". The stretch from base 316 to 3431 matches the Rfam family "Eukaryotic large subunit ribosomal RNA". The record is from RNAcentral. Lineage: Eukaryota; Fungi; Ascomycota; Sordariomycetes; Glomerellales; Glomerellaceae.